GUGCACGCUGGCGGUAGGCCUAACACAUGCAAGUCGAACGGCAGCACCGUAAGAGCUUGCUCUUACGGGUGGCGAGUGGCGGACGGGUGAGGAAUACAUCGGAAUCUACUUUUUCGUGGGGGAUAACGUAGGGAAACUUACGCUAAUACCGCAUACGACCUACGGGUGAAAGCAGGGGAUCUUCGGACCUUGCGCGAUUGAAUGAGCCGAUGUCGGAUUAGCUAGUUGGCGGGGUAAAGGCCCACCAAGGCGACGAUCCAUAGCUGGUCUGAGAGGAUGAUCAGCCACACUGGAACUGAGACACGGUCCAGACUCCUACGGGAGGCAGCAGUGGGGAAUAUUGGACAAUGGGCGCAAGCCUGAUCCAGCCAUACCGCGUGGGUGAAGAAGGCCUUCGGGUUGUAAAGCCCUUUUGUUGGGAAAGAAAAGCAGCAGGUUAAUACCCCGCUGUUCUGACGGUACCCAAAGAAUAAGCACCGGCUAACUUCGUG
This 491-nucleotide ribosomal RNA is filed under the name uncultured bacterium. RNAcentral's name for it is "partial 16S ribosomal RNA". It matches the Rfam family "Bacterial small subunit ribosomal RNA", at positions 29 to 507 of the family's 1533-position model. The record is from RNAcentral.